RNAcentral lists this long non-coding RNA (2269 nucleotides) under Heterocephalus glaber (naked mole-rat). RNAcentral describes it as "lncRNA (ENSHGLG00000028609.2)". The record is from RNAcentral. Lineage: Eukaryota; Metazoa; Chordata; Mammalia; Rodentia; Bathyergidae.
AGGAAAUUGCUCUGGAGGCUAUGGAUCAUCACUGGGCAGUGGCAUUCUCCUCCUCCCAGCCCUGUCAUGGGUGAGAUGUGACAGGACCCCAGGUUCACAGCCUCCCACCCCCUGCUCCAGCCCAGGAGGAGUUUCUCUCCUGACCCUGUCCUCCUAUCCCCCCACCCACAGAGAGUCUAGACCUAGGUUGGCAGUGGUGCAGGGGACUCACAGUGGUGGGCAGGCCUAAAUGUUCUUGUGCUGAACUCGGUGUCUCAGAGUGCCUGGUGGCCAGGCUGAGGGAGACCUGCCCUGGGCUUCUUCUCAUAUCAGGCCCUGAGGACCCUGAGUGUUGUGAGACAUGCCCUGUGCUGCCCAUUGAGGCUGGGUUGUUCUGGCCAGUGGCCUGAAGCACGUGGACUUAGUCAUCCAUCCUCUCACUUGUUCCCAAGUGCUUUCCCUGUGUGGUGUCUUGAGGCUGCAGCCUUGAGGCCUGGGAAACAGCACAAUAUGUUCACUGCAGACUGUCUCCUGCCAAGUGACUGUUAGGCAGCCUUUGUGAGACUGCGGUGCCCCAUUACUGCAGGGUUCCAAGUUCUGUUGGGACCUGUCACCAUGGAAGUGAAGUCAUGUGCUGGGGUCCAUAAGAUGAGCCUCCUGGUCUGUUGCAAGAAGCAUGGUAUCUACACAAAAAGGCAGAAUGAAAAGCUAAGAAGAUAGAAGAUUGCCUACAAAAAGUACUUUAAGGCAACAUAUAAGUUGAGUAUUUAUUACAAAGAUGAAUUCUACAACUUAAGAAUGAUAUCAGUUAUGAUAACAAAUACAUGUGAAGUUACUAUACUUGAAAUCCAUAAUGCAGGCUAGGAGAUGUGACUCAGUUAUGGAGCACGAGUUUUGCACGCAUGAGGCCCCGGGUUCAAUCCCCACCACCACACACACCAAAAAGAAGAAAAAAUGUGAUGAAUAAUUUCUGCACAUUAUCUCUAAAUUUUACAAAUUAAUCACAAAAUGCACCUCAAAAACUGGUAGUUACAUUAUCUCCAUUUAAAUUUUUAAGAAUGAAUGUAAUUAGAGAGUCCAGGAGCUUGAGCAUACAGGCCCCAGCCAAAGGCCCACUUGGAAAAGAGCUGCAAAAGUGUGCAAGCAAUAGCCCGAGGCCCACCCAGAUGCCAUCAGUAAGUGUGAUGAGAUCCCAGUGAGAAUCCUAAUUGGACAAGAGCGGCUCAACUGUGUGAGCCAGCUCUGAGCCAGGGCCCUGCCCAGACAGGAGAAGCUUGGGCCCUCAGGAACAAACCAAAAUCUCACCUAAGAAAGAGCUGCACAGGCAUGCAAACAACAGCCAGAGGCUCACACAGAUACCAUUGAUAAGUACCCACAGACCUCAGCCAGAAGCUCACUCAGACAUCAGCAACUCAGGUGCACAGCACCCAGCCUAAGGGCAUCCCAGACAACAGCUACACAGGUGGGCAGGCCACAGCAAGAGACAUGCCCAGAUAUCAUACCAAGAGUGUGCAGCCCCCAGCUUGAACCCGGCCCAGACAACAGUGCAGUGCAGAGAUCCACAAGGCCACUAUUCUGAACCCAGGAAUUGGCACAGUGGUAACAGAGUAAAGGGCUCUCUGUGGUUUUCUGAAUAUUGAAGCCCAUUGGGGGAACAAAAAGUCACCUCAACAAAAGUGCAGCAGGCUGCAUCUGCUGAAAUGAGAAGACACAUAAACAAGUCUCAAGACCAGACUUCCAGAUCACCAAAGGCAACCCCAAGAGGCAAUGAGAUGGAACAAGCUGAUACUCAACUACCUGAACUCCCUGAACUGGCAACAAAGGAGUAUCUGCAAAAAAGGUUGGAAAUCAGGCAGCCCAGAGCCUGGCAGAGGUCUGCACAAUGAGGACAGCACAGGCAGGCAAGCCACAUGCCCUGAUGGAGCCCCCAGAGCAGACCUCCCUGGACAGCUGCCCCAUCAGUGGGCCCUCCUUCGUGGAUCCCAAAGGGGCCUGCAUUUUUUCCCCACAGGAGGGCAUGGUGGGAAGGAGCACCUCCAUUCCAAGCUGAAGUCCCAGCGGCAGAGCCUGUGCCAACUGCACCUGCAGGUGCUUCCUCAGCUCUGGCACCACAGCCAGAGCCAGAACCAGGAUUCCCUUGUCCUUUAACUGCACUUCUGGGGCUCCUGGUGGCUUCUCAGAGGUUGUCAGCUCCUGAGAUUCCCCUGGGGCCAGCUCCUGCCCCACACCUGCCAUUCCCCUCUAUUACUGCUGCUCAUGUUUUAUUCUUUACUUUUGUGCUUAUAUUCUG